Myxocyprinus asiaticus (Chinese sucker) is the source of this 7017-nucleotide long non-coding RNA. RefSeq lists it as uncharacterized. The transcript has 2 exons. NCBI's taxonomy places the organism in Eukaryota, Metazoa, Chordata, Actinopteri, Cypriniformes, Catostomidae. The record is from RefSeq and is a predicted model, not a curated record.
GUCGCAGUAUUUACUGACACAGACGCGGAAAGGAGGGUUUGGGGAAACAAUGCUAAAUGCGAAUAAUAAAAUGUAACUAAAUAUAUAGCCGUGCAUUAUUAGGACAGCAAAAUAAGCAGUCCAUCAACUUUUAAUACUGAGGAGAAAACGCUUAUCAUAUCUAUCUUUUGUCGAUGCCAGAGGCCGAAUGUUGCUACUAUAUUUUGGCGCGAAUCUGUCUCUUGGUAGAAGCUAGCCAGUAGCCAAAUUAGGUGUAUACCAACACUGACAGGUGACAUGCCCUCGUCCUCCAUGAACAUGUAAAGGAGAUAAUUACAUCAAAAGGUUAACCUGCCACCAUAGGGAGGAAAAGAGAGACAGAGGACAGAAGAGAAGGAAUAAGAGACUGCUCAACUCAGGGCGAAAAAAACCCGGAGGAAGGUAAAGAAACAUAGGAAAGGGUUAAAACAUGACAACAAACAUCAAAGGGGCAAAUAAGAUGCACACAUAACCACACUGCUAAAAUAACCGCAUUUGUCAACUACGAGUCAAAUUUUUGAGUGUGCAACAUGCAUUCAAGCACACAUGAACAUAUGUACACACAGACAACGACACACCCAUACAUUCUCAUUUACACACUGAGCGAGCAGUGAACACGAAAUCAGGGAGAAGAUUCACAAACCAAAAAAGGAAGAUCAUCACAGACAUACCAAGUCUUGUCUUUAAGAUCAUCAUCAUCAUGAAGAUGUAUAACCCAAAUAAUGAGUAAUUACAAAAAUACAUUUUAUCAUCAUUAACUCAUUGUAUGUCACUUUGGAUGGUUGAGGUUAUACCUUCAUAAACUGGGUUGUUAGGUGACCAGGGAGCGAGACAUAAAAAAACAAACAAAAAAAAAAACAACAGUGUUAAGUAUAGUUCUUUGGUUUAACUAGAAGUGUUGAAGUUCUUUGCCAUUUUUAUUUUUAUUUUAUUUUUUAAAAUCUUUUUAAACACCUUUGGACUGAAGCUGUUCUUUUUUUGUUCUUUUUAAAAUGUAAAAUACAAAGAGAGCGAGAGAGAGAGGGGGAGAGGGGGAGAGGGGGGAAUCAGAGUCAAACGAGAAAGAAAAGGUGUAUCUAACUUCCAGUUCUCUUGGUCAGGCAGUGUCAAACGAUAUGUUAUUCUUUUUGGGAAUUUUUCUUAAACACCAGAUCAGACUGUUAUUGAAGUCAGAACUGACUGAAUAACAAGAUUCUGUGCAAUUUUAGCGAAUCUCAAGGUUUCCUAUAUAUAUACACACACAAUAUGUAUAUACACUGGCGGCCAAAAGUUUGGAAUAAUGUACAGAUUUUGCUGUUUCAGAAGGAAAUUGGUACUUUAAUUCACCAAAAUGGCAUUCGACUGAUCACAAAGUAUAGUCAGGACAUUACUGAUGUAAGAAAACAGCACCAUCACUAUUUGAAAAGUCUUUUUUAUUUUUUAUUUUUUUUAUCCCCUUUUCUCUCAAUUUGGAAUGCCCAAUUCCCACUACUUAGUAGGUCCUCGUGGUGGCGCGGUUACUCACCUCAAUCCGGGUGGCGGAGGACAAGUCUCAGUUGCCUCCGCUUCUGAGACAAUCAAUCCGCGCAUCUUAUCACGUGGCUCAUUGUGCGUGACACUGUGGAGACUCACAGCAUGUGGAGGCUCAUGCUAUUCUCAGCGAUCCAUGCACAACUUACCAUGUGCCCCAUUGAGAGUGAGAACCACUAAUCGUGACCACGAGGAGGUUACCCCAUGUGACCCUACCCUCCCUAGCAACCGGGCCAAUUUGGUUGCUUGGGAGACCUGGCUGGAGUCACUCAGAACACCCUGGAAAGGAAUUUGUGACUCCAGGGGUGGUAGUCAGCGUCAAAACUUGCUGAGCUACCCAGGCCAAGUCAUUUUUGGUCAAAUCUAGACAGGCCCCAUUUCCAGCAGCCAUCACUCCAACACCUUAUCCUUGAGUAAGCAUGCUAAAUUGCUAAUUAAGAAGAAGCCUUUAUUUUGGUCACACAUUAUACAUUUGCACAUAUUCAGUGAAAUUCUAAUGUGGUACUAGAAAAUCACUUGCCAUUAUAUCAAACACAGCUGAAAGCUAUUUGGUUUGUUAAAUGAAGCUUAACAUUGUUUUUGUGUUUGUUUUUGAGUUGCCACAGUAUGCAAUAGACUGGCAUGUCUUAAGGUCAAUAUUAGGUUAAACAAAAAUGGCAAAAAGAAACAGCUUUCUCUAGAAACUCAUCAGUCAAUUGUUGUUUUGAGGAAUGAAGGCUAUACAAUGCUUGAAAUUGCCAAAAAACUGAAGAUUUCAUACAAAGGUGUACACUACAGUCUUCAAAGAGAAAGGACAACUGGCUCUAACAAGGAUAGAAAGAGAUGUGGAAGGCCAGAUGUAAAACUAAACAAGAGGAUAAGUACAUCAGAGUCUCUAGUUUGAGAAAUAGACGCCUCACAUGUUCUCAGCUGACAGCUUCAUUGAAUUCUACCCACUCAACACCAGUUUCAUGUACAACAGUAAAGAGAAGACUCAGGGGUGCAGGCCUUAUGGGAAGAAUUGCAAAUAAAAAGCCACUUUUGAAACAGAAAAACAAAAAGAAAAGGUUAGAGUGGGCAAAGAAACACAGACAUUGGACAACAGAUAAUUGGAAAAGAGUGUUAUGGAUCUUAACCCCAUUGAGCUUUUGUGGGAUCAGCUAGACUGUAAGGUGUGUGAGAAGUGCCCGACAAGACAGCCACAUCUAUGGCAAGUGCUACAGGAAGCGUGGGGUGAAAUGUCACCUGAGUAUCUGGACAAACUGACAGCUAGAAUGCCAAGGAUCUGCAAAGCUGUCGUUGCUGCACAUGGAGAAUUUUUUUAUGAGAACUCUCUUAAGUAGUUUAAGAAGUUCUGAACAUUUUUUCAAAUUGUAAUAGUAAUUUUUCAUGUUAUUAACUGACUAUACAUUGUGAUCAGUUGAAUGCCACUUUGGUGAAUAAAAGUACCAAUUUCUUUCAAACUUUUGGCUGCAAGUGUGUGUGUGUGUGUGUGUGUGUGUAGUACUGUACUGUGCAAAAGUCUUAGGCACAUAAGAUGUUUCACAAAACAUUUGUCUUAAGAUGGUUAUUUAUAUCUUCAGCUUUAGUGUGUCAAUAGGAAAUAUAAAUCUUAGACUCACAAACAUUACUUUUGCAAAUAGAAAAGAUUUGAACAGAAGAACAGGGAGCCCUGCAACAGAUGUCCUGGCCCCCACAAGGCCCCUCACUGAACAUCGUGUCUGUCUGAAAUUACAUAUAGAGACAGAAGCAAUUGAGAAUGCCUAAAUAGAAGAACUGUGCCGAAUUCUCCAAGAAGCUUGGAACAUCCUAUCUGCCAACAACCAAGAAAAACUGUGUCCAGGUGUACCUAGUAGAAUUGCUGCUGUUUUAAAGGCAAAGGUGGCCACAUUGAAUAUUGAUUUAGUUUUUUUAUGUUUACUGGACUUUGUAUGACAUUAAGUGAUAAAUGAAAACUAUUUAUACUGAACAAAAAUAUAGAUGCAACAUGCAACAAUUUCAAAGAUUUUUCUGAGUUGCAUUUAAGGAAAUCAGUCAAUUGAAAUAAAUUCAUUAGGCCCUAAUCUAAUCUAAUCAAUGCGUAUGGAAAAUUUCUGGGAUCUUUUAUUUCAGCUCAUGAAACAUGGGACCAACACUUUACAUGUUGCGUUUAUAUUUUUGUUCAGUGUAUUUCAUUAUUUUUGAAGACAUCCUCACUAUGCAACAUUUUUCACAAGUGCAUAAAACUUUGCACAGUACUGUAUAUACUGUGUUUGGUGACUGGAAAAGUGGUCACAGGGGCUGGUGCAGGACAGAGGAAGUGAACAGGCCAAAGCUUAAACCAAAUAGGUCGGCAUCUUACAGACUAAACAAAAAUAAGUUUUUUUUUCCCCCACUUAAAAUGGCAUCACAACAGUGAGUGCUUUCAUCUUCCUUGAUCUUUCAUCUAAACCUUACAGUUUAAACAUUCCCCUUUACGAUCACUCAGCCCUGGCCAAUUAGAACUUCAGAGCUUCUGUCUGUCCCCUACCGGCAGAUGCAACCAGCUUCUCUGUUUAAAGCAUUCAUCUAUUUGGUUUGUCAUUAAAGAGAGUGGGGUAUAUGAGGAACUAUCUCUUUUUACACCCCUUACCCAGGAGACAAAACAGGCACACCGAAAUAAUAAUAAUAAAAACAAAGAAGGAAUAGAAAUAGGACAAAGAGGAAAAAUGAGGCAGAGAGCAACAGAGAGGAAGAUGGAGAUGGCACUGAUACAUUUCCGUUAUCGCACAAUUACAUACAUUUUGCUGUAUUCUCUCCCCUCACUUAUGGAACCCCUUAUGCAUCUUCCAUCCAAAUCCCUCCAUCUAUCUUCUCCUAAAAUAUUUGGUUUUGUAGCUGUUUAAAGCUUUCAGUUCAAGGCUCAUGGCAGCACUGCCCUCAACAUUGUCACACACGUAUGGUAGCUAUCACAACAGUAACCAUAGCAACACAAUCGCUUACAUCAGCUUUGGUGAGACAGGUACGUAGAGAUACAAUGCAGGUGAACCGUUAAGAGAUCUACAAUUGAUCUUGUCUAGAUUGUAAUCUCACCCCUUUCUCACUUUUCUAUCAAAACCAUGGCAGUGCAUGCUUUUACUCUGGAAGGUUACUUCGACGUUGUGAGUUAAAGCUACCAAAACAUUUUAGCAGAUGAAACACAGUGCUGCUUUUUCCCCUGAUAGGUUACCCCUCUACAGGCUUUGUCCAGUAAGGAACAGCUAAGGGGUUGGGAAUACAAGUGUCCACCCCAUGCUGCCGUGGUUGGCCGAUUAGGACCAACGGUUGCAUUUGUCGAUGGAUUUAGUUUGAAAGGUUGCCUUGGCAAAGGAAGUUUACAUUUUAAUACAAUCUGGUGCCUCAAACACACCCACUACAAAACAGCAUUUGGAAUAUAUUAAAUAAAUUAAAAAAAGAAUUUAGAAAAUUUGCAAACAAGCCAGAGGAGAAUAAAUAAAGUAAUACAUUUGUUUCAAUUGGGGAGGAAAAAGACACAAAAACCCAAAAGAGAGAGAGUGUGAAUUUUUGGUCUAGGGAAAUGUCAACUUUUUUUUUAUCUUUUCACAACAUUUUUCAUCCAUACAUUAGUAAUAAGUAAGCAAAUAUAACAGAGAUUAUUUACUACAAAAUCUAUAGAAGCACUAACUGACCCACUCUAACUAUACGAUAACAGAGAACUGAGCUUAUGUAUUUCAUCCCUCAUUGAACCUGCAGUGCUCACCAACUACAGAUUCCAACACGCUAUAAAUACAACUGUUAGGUGGUGACCUUUGGGUGGGUGAGAGUAUGUAAAUUGUAGAGUAUAUGAUAUUUGGUUCUUUUAAAAGUUUUAAAGCUCAUUUUAUAUUUGACUUUGGUUCUUUGGAUGUACUUGAGCGUGUGUGUGUGUGUGUAAGUGUGUUUGUGUAUCCUGGUUUAUCAUCUGUUGUACUGAAUUUUCACAGUAUUGUUUCAACCACCUGAUUAGAGUCUCUAACACAACUAUAGGAACGAGUAAAGAACGUAAAAAAUUAGAUUUAUGCAAUACGUAAAUACCUUUUUACCAAAUGAUAGCACACAAAUGAAGAAGUACAGCAUCUACACACACGCAGAGAAAACCCCCACAUAACAGACAGAUGGAACAAAAGACCAAAAACAAUGACCCUCCCAACCCCCAAAUAUCUUUUUCAGAUGAGUUCAGUGAGGUCAUCAAAGAUCCCACCCCCCAGGACCAGGAAGCAUUUGAAUGACAGGAGGCAGAGGCAGGUGGAACCAUCGUGCCAUACAUUGAUCCCUUGCUACAAGGUUCUGGGUGACCUCGGUCCAGAUAUGUCUGAAGGGAAUGAUGUUUGUCUGUACAGCAACUCAUUUUCUCCUCUGUUCCUCUCUGUCCAUAUUUGGUUUGUUUUGUUUUUGGUUUUCCUUUCUGGGUUAGUGGGAGUUUGGCUGGCUGUGAAGUUUCAUAUAAUUUUUUUGGCUUGUAGAAAAAGCAGAGAGGACGGGAGCCCCUUUAUGGCAGAUCCCAGAUAUUUCCCAUAUGUGUUUUUGAGUGGGGUUGUCAAGGUUUGGGCUCCUGAUCUCUUUCUGCAUCACAUGAAUAAUGAUCUGAUAAUGUGUAUGAAUGAAUUGCUUUGGUAUUCAAAAGGGAGUCAGGGAGACAGGUGAUCAAUGAAUGAGGAAGGAUGCAACUGCAUUAUUAAGAGAGAAAUGAGAAUAUUUGCACUCACUUAAACUAGAGGCAUGAAUAGAGGCUUUGGUCUCUUUUUUUUUUUUACAGGAUCUGAAUUAAACUAUACGACAUUCAUGUCUUGGGACAUACAGUACAAGUAGAUGCUGCAUGCAAACUCUUGCAGCGCUAAUAUGAUGAACAGCAAAGACCAAACCCUCUCUAUAUGCUCAACAAGGCAUGAAAUGAUGAUGAUGAUGACCAAAUGCACUGAAACAUUCAAUAGAGACUUGAAUAACUGUUGAUGGAAAACCUGCUACUUUCUGUAAAACUAUUAAGCAACAACAAGGAAGAACCACAGAAAGCGUUUGAGCCAGGCUCACUCAAUAAUUAAAUCAUAAAAACAUAAUGGAAAGCAGGAAUGACAGAAAGACAGUAUGAUUGCAUGGCAGAUGGUGAUGGCUGGAUUGUGUCACUGGAUCUGGUCCUGGACAGUCAGCUAUUUACAGGUCCUUUGGAUAAAGCUUUUCCAUCCGUAUUUUUGGCGUUUGUUUUUGGUAUUUGAGAUUUUGGUAUUUGAGAUUUUGGUAUGCUUUUGUCAUAGUGAGUCUUUUAAAGUUCCAUUAUACUUUUUGGUAUUCAGUACUUCACAUGUUUGCUUCAAAGAGUGGAAAUCCCACACCUUUGCCAUUGUUCUACAAUGCACAGUAAAGUCCUUUCUUUUGUUGAUUUGGUGCACACAGAUUCAAGGAUCUCAUUUUGUCCUCUUCUAACUGUACUUUUUGUUCAAAUAGUUCUUCGUUCUCCUUUUAUGAAUGUAUUUAUCUGCAUCCUGCUAAGCCUUGUGGCGUUUUUUUUUUUUUUGGUUU